RNAcentral lists this ribosomal RNA (254 nucleotides) under uncultured bacterium. Its description in RNAcentral is "partial 16S ribosomal RNA". It matches the Rfam family "Bacterial small subunit ribosomal RNA", at positions 524 to 776 of the family's 1533-position model. The record is from RNAcentral.
UACGAAGGGGGCUAGCGUUGCUCGGAAUCACUGGGCGUAAAGCGCACGUAGGUGGGUCGCUAAGUCGGGGGUGAAAUCCUGGAGCUCAACUCCAGAACUGCCUUCGAUACUGGCGAUCUUUGAGUCCGGGAGAGGUGGGUGGAACUGCGAGUGUAGAGGUGAAAUUCGUAGAUAUUCGCAAGAACACCAGUGGCGAAGGCGGCUCACUGGCCCGGUACUGACGCUGAGGCGCGAAAGCUAGGGGAGCAAACGGG